Molecule: transfer RNA, 63 nt
Filed under: Mesocricetus auratus (golden hamster)
Lineage: Eukaryota; Metazoa; Chordata; Mammalia; Rodentia; Cricetidae
Rfam family: tRNA
About the family: Transfer RNA (tRNA) molecules are approximately 80 nucleotides in length. Their secondary structure includes four short double-helical elements and three loops (D, anti-codon, and T loops). Further hydrogen bonds mediate the characteristic L-shaped molecular structure. tRNAs have two regions of fundamental functional importance: the anti-codon, which is responsible for specific mRNA codon recognition, and the 3' end, to which the tRNAs corresponding amino acid is attached (by aminoacyl-tRNA synthetases). tRNAs cope with the degeneracy of the genetic code in two manners: having more than one tRNA (with a specific anti-codon) for a particular amino acid; and 'wobble' base-pairing, i.e. permitting non-standard base-pairing at the 3rd anti-codon position.
Source: Rfam by way of RNAcentral
AUAUAGCCCAGCUGUAGAGUGUUUGCCUGGCAUGCAAGAGGCUCCAGGUUCAAUCCCCGGUAU